RNAcentral lists this transfer RNA (74 nucleotides) under Bacillota bacterium. RNAcentral's name for it is "tRNA-Arg". It matches the Rfam family "tRNA". Rfam says of the family: Transfer RNA (tRNA) molecules are approximately 80 nucleotides in length. RNAcentral also lists the same sequence under 2 other names. Lineage: Bacteria; Bacillati; Bacillota. The record is from RNAcentral.
GCCCCGGUAGCUCAGCUGGAUAGAGCAGCGGUUUCCUAAACCGUUGGUCGCAGGUUCAAGUCCUGCCCGGGGUA